GCUCAGAUUGAACGCUGGCGGCAGGCCUAACACAUGCAAGUCGAACGGUAACAGGAAGCAGCUUGCUGCUUUGCUGACGAGUGGCGGACGGGUGAGUAAUGUCUGGGAAACUGCCUGAUGGAGGGGGAUAACUACUGGAAACGGUAGCUAAUACCGCAUAACGUCGCAAGACCAAAGAGGGGGACCUUCGGGCCUCUUGCCAUCGGAUGUGCCCAGAUGGGAUUAGCUAGUAGGUGGGGUAACGGCUCACCUAGGCGACGAUCCCUAGCUGGUCUGAGAGGAUGACCAGCCACACUGGAACUGAGACACGGUCCAGACUCCUACGGGAGGCAGUAGUA
This 338-nucleotide ribosomal RNA is filed under the name uncultured bacterium. RNAcentral's name for it is "bacterial SSU rRNA". It matches the Rfam family "Bacterial small subunit ribosomal RNA", at positions 22 to 356 of the family's 1533-position model. The record is from RNAcentral.